Small nuclear RNA from Brugia malayi, 92 nucleotides. The record is from RefSeq and is a predicted model, not a curated record. NCBI's taxonomy places the organism in Eukaryota, Metazoa, Nematoda, Chromadorea, Rhabditida, Onchocercidae.
AAUUUAAUGCCUAAGUUUGAGUUUAUUGAAUGUUUCAGUCCAAAAUCUGUUGUGUCCUGAAGCGGAAGUUUUGGGACGUUCAGCAUAACAAU